Molecule: ribosomal RNA, 253 nt
Filed under: uncultured bacterium
Lineage: Bacteria
Description: partial 16S ribosomal RNA
Rfam family: Bacterial small subunit ribosomal RNA
Source: RNAcentral
UACGUAGGGUGCAAGCGUUAAUCGGAAUUACUGGGCGUAAAGCGUGCGCAGGCGGUGAUGUAAGACAGUUGUGAAAUCCCCGGGCUCAACCUGGGAACUGCAUCUGUGACUGCACCGCUGGAGUGCGGCAGAGGGGGAUGGAAUUCCGCGUGUAGCAGUGAAAUGCGUAGAUAUGCGGAGGAACACCGAUGGCGAAGGCAAUCCCCUGGGCCUGCACUGACGCUCAUGCACGAAAGCGUGGGGAGCAAACAGG